This 75-nucleotide transfer RNA is filed under the name Gordonia phage Phendrix. RNAcentral's name for it is "tRNA-Leu". It matches the Rfam family "tRNA". From Rfam's summary of the family: Transfer RNA (tRNA) molecules are approximately 80 nucleotides in length. Their secondary structure includes four short double-helical elements and three loops (D, anti-codon, and T loops). Further hydrogen bonds mediate the characteristic L-shaped molecular structure. tRNAs have two regions of fundamental functional importance: the anti-codon, which is responsible for specific mRNA codon recognition, and the 3' end, to which the tRNAs corresponding amino acid is attached (by aminoacyl-tRNA synthetases). tRNAs cope with the degeneracy of the genetic code in two manners: having more than one tRNA (with a specific anti-codon) for a particular amino acid; and 'wobble' base-pairing, i.e. permitting non-standard base-pairing at the 3rd anti-codon position. Lineage: Duplodnaviria; Heunggongvirae; Uroviricota; Caudoviricetes. The record is from RNAcentral.
GCUUCCGUAGCCCAACUGGCAGAGGCACUAGUCUUAGAAACUAGGUAGUGUGGGUUCGAAUCCCUCCGGGAGCAC